UUUGGUUCUCUAGUGGUGUUUGGCAAUGGUAGAACUCACACUGGUGAGGUAGAUGGAUCCGGUGGUUCUAGACUUGCCAACUACUGCUUGAGAGUGUCCAA
RNAcentral lists this microRNA precursor (101 nucleotides) under Oryzias latipes (Japanese medaka). RNAcentral describes it as "microRNA ola-mir-182 precursor". Its record names the gene ola-mir-182. The stretch from base 12 to 88 matches the Rfam family "mir-182 microRNA precursor family". The record is from miRBase by way of RNAcentral. Lineage: Eukaryota; Metazoa; Chordata; Actinopteri; Beloniformes; Adrianichthyidae.